UGGGGAAUUUUGGACAAUGGGGGCAACCCUGAUCCAGCAAUGCCGCGUGAGUGAAGAAGGCCUUCGGGCUGUAAAGCUCUUUUGUCAGGGAAGAAACGGUAGUAGCGAAUAACUACUACUAAUGACGGUACCUGAAGAAUAAGCACCGGCUAACUACGUGCCAGCAGCCGCGGUAAUACGUAGGGUGCAAGCGUUAAUCGGAAUUACUGGGCGUAGAGCGUGCGCAGGCGGUUGUGUAAGUCAGAUGUGAAAUCCCCGGGCUCAACCUGGGAAUUGCAUUUGAGACUGCACGGCUAGAGUGUGUCAGAGGGGGGUAGAAUUCCACGUGUAGCAGUGAAAUGCGUAGAUAUGUGGAGGAAUACCGAUGGCGAAGGCAGCCCCCUGGGAUAACACUGACGCUCAUGCACGAAAGCGUGGGGAGCAAACAGGAUUAGAUACCCCCGUAGUCCCUGAGCGGGCUGGCAAGGCGCAU
Molecule: ribosomal RNA, 472 nt
Filed under: uncultured bacterium
Lineage: Bacteria
Description: bacterial SSU rRNA
Rfam family: Bacterial small subunit ribosomal RNA
Source: RNAcentral